AUUGAACGCUGGCGGCAUGCUUUACACAUGCAAGUCGAACGGCAGCGCGGGCUUCGGCCUGGCGGCGAGUGGCGAACGGGUGAGUAAUACAUCGGAACGUGCCCAGUAGUGGGGGAUAGCUCGGCGAAAGCCGGAUUAAUACCGCAUACGACCUGAGGGUGAAAGCGGGGGGUCUUCGGACCUCGCGCUAUUGGAGCGGCCGAUGGCAGAUUAGCUAGUUGGGGGGGUAAAGGCCUACCAAGGCGACGAUCUGUAGCUGGUCUGAGAGGACGACCAGCCACACUGGGACUGAGACACGGCCCAGACUCCUACGGGAGGCAGCAGUGGGGAAUUUUGGACAAUGGGCGAAAGCCUGAUCCAGCAAUGCCGCGUGUGUGAUGAAGGCCUUCGGGUUGUAAAGCACUUUUGGCGGGAACGAAAAGGACUGUGCCAAUACCACGGUUCGAUGACGGUACCCGCAGAAUAAGCACCGGCUAACUACGUG
RNAcentral lists this ribosomal RNA (484 nucleotides) under uncultured bacterium. RNAcentral's name for it is "partial 16S ribosomal RNA". It matches the Rfam family "Bacterial small subunit ribosomal RNA", at positions 29 to 507 of the family's 1533-position model. The record is from RNAcentral.